GAGAUUCCCCCAGUAGCGGCGAGCGAACGGGGAGGAGCCCAGAGCCUGAAUCAGUGUGUGUGUUAGUGGAAGCGUCUGGAAAGGCGCGCGAUACAGGGUGACAGCCCCGUACACAAAAAUGCACAUGCUGUGAGCUCGAUGAGUAGGGCGGGACACGUGGUAUCCUGUCUGAAUAUGGGGGGACCAUCCUCCAAGGCUAAAUACUCCUGACUGACCGAUAGUGAACCAGUACCGUGAGGGAAAGGCGAAAAGAACCCCGGCGAGGGGAGUGAAAAAGAACCUGAAACCGUGUACGUACAAGCAGUGGGAGCACAGAGCAAUCUGUGUGACUGCGUACCUUUUGUAUAAUGGGUCAGCGACUUAUAUUCUGUAGCAAGGUUAACCGAAUAGGGGAGCCGAAGGGAAACCGAGUCUUAACUGGGCGUUAAGUUGCAGGGUAUAGACCCGAAACCCGGUGAUCUAGCCAUGGGCAGGUUGAAGGUUGGGUAACACUAACUGGAGGACCGAACCGACUAAUGUUGAAAAAUUAGCGGAUGACUUGUGGCUGGGGGUGAAAGGCCAAUCAAACCGGGAGAUAGCUGGUUCUCCCCGAAAGCUAUUUAGGUAGCGCCUCGUGAAUUCAUCUCCGGGGGUAGAGCACUGUUUCGGCAAGGGGGUCAUCCCGACUUACCAACCCGAUGCAAACUGCGAAUACCGGAGAAUGUUAUCACGGGAGACACACGGCGGGUGCUAACGUCCGUCGUGAAGAGGGAAACAACCCAGACCGCCAGCUAAGGUCCCAAAGUCAUGGUUAAGUGGGAAACGAUGUGGGAAGGCCCAGACAGCCAGGAUGUUGGCUUAGAAGCAGCCAUCAUUUAAAGAAAGCGUAAUAGCUCACUGGUCGAGUCGGCCUGCGCGGAAGAUGUAACGGGGCUAAACCAUGCACCGAAGCUGCGGCAGCGACGCUUAUGCGUUGUUGGGUA
This 962-nucleotide ribosomal RNA is filed under the name Escherichia coli. RNAcentral's name for it is "partial 23S ribosomal RNA". It matches the Rfam family "Bacterial large subunit ribosomal RNA", at positions 231 to 1230 of the family's 2925-position model. Lineage: Bacteria; Pseudomonadati; Pseudomonadota; Gammaproteobacteria; Enterobacterales; Enterobacteriaceae. The record is from RNAcentral.